This 46-nucleotide non-coding RNA is filed under the name Schistosoma mansoni. The record is from RNAcentral. Lineage: Eukaryota; Metazoa; Platyhelminthes; Trematoda; Strigeidida; Schistosomatidae.
GCACUGCUGAGGAGUCCCAUCUUAGGACGAAACGGUCGUUCAGUGC